RNAcentral lists this long non-coding RNA (736 nucleotides) under Triticum aestivum (bread wheat). RNAcentral describes it as "long non-coding RNA (TAES_LNC005888)". Lineage: Eukaryota; Viridiplantae; Streptophyta; Magnoliopsida; Poales; Poaceae. The record is from RNAcentral.
CAGGGGGUUGGCACCAGGGUGGUGGGUCAGCACCGUCACCCAUGGCAGCGUCAAGCUCCGACAACCGGACAUCGCAUGGCUGGGACCCGCGCACCCCCACGGCUGUGAUUUAUCCUAUUCAUGGGCACGACCAGCCAACUGCUAUUUGAAAUGAACAGUCAUUUUGCCAUUAAUAUCUAAGAUAACAAUGUUGUACAACCAAACAAAUAAAAAGAUCAAAUGAAGUGGUAUAAACCAGAGAGAGGGAGAGUGGAAUCAUUGAUGAGCACAGGGGCAGACAUCGCUGGCAGUUUUUUCCUCAGUGAAACUGAUUGUGAUAACAAGCAUGGUGGUGAUGCCAACAAAGUCCUAUAAAUCCGAUGGCUUCCCCUGAUGAUAGGGUCACACAAGUCAACAACUCAUUCAUGAACUGUAAUUUUAUAUCCAGCAGCAAACAAGAUUUAUUUUUUGUGUUCAAAAGUUGAAUAGAUUCCACUUGAACCUCAAGAACAAAAAGAAACCUCACGCUUAGUUAAGCAUCGAUGAGUGGCAACAAAGGGAAAACAAAGUGCGAAAGAGAUGUUAACUGCAAACUGCAGUAUCUUCAUAUGUACUUCCCUUGUAGUUUUUCUUUCUACAGAUUCUGUUCGGAAGGACCCAACGGCCAACCUGUUGAUACAAUAAACACGAGAAAUACCACUUAAGCACAAUACCUUCACCAGCUGGCCAUUGCACGGGGCAGCACAACAAUCAAAGA